GCACAGGUUUCGUAAAAAAAAAAAAAAAAAAAAAGUUUCGUUAAACGAGUACAGAUCUGUGCAUGGCUUUUAUCUAUCUCCAAUUUUUUUUCCUUUUUUCGAUUCUUUUUUUUUUUUUUUUAUAUCACCGGUUCGUAUAUAUCAUCGUACCACAUUUUUUUUCGGCUAAAAAUUUAAUGCAAAAAAACAUGGAAUAAGAAUCGCUUUCGAAUUUCUGAAAAAAAAAAAAAAAGAACGAAAAAUAAAUCUAUGAAUUUUUCCAUAUAUCCGAUGUGGAAAAAUAAAUGAAAAGAAAGAAAAAAAAAAAAAGAAAGGACACGGUCUCGAUUCACAAACCCUCGAUGCGAAAACAAAAAUCGAAACAUUUUUACUUUCAACCGUCUGAUUCGUCGCGACCCCUCUCUGAUCGAACAGCGAGGGUGCUGCGCCGUGGACGUCGCGACGUGCUUCAGCCCUUCGAACGAUCGAACGGGACGCUUGGAACAGGAUAGCAUGAACGAAUGGUUGGUUUCUUGGUGGACGAAAGGAUGGAUGGGUGGACGGAUAGAAAGAAACGAGACAAGAGGGUGAUCUUUGAGAGAUGAUCGGGGAUAGGGUAUAACGUUACGAUUAUACGCGAGUACAAGUUUCUAUUUCUAUACGUGGUGACAGAAUUUUUACGUGUACGAUGAGCGUACGUUGUUGGUUGCCACGAAGAACGGGAAGAGGAUCGACUUAAUCAAAGUCACGAUAUUUCUGUAACGAGGAACGCUCGGUUUUUAUUUUCGAUCCAGCCUCUCACAAUUGGAUUUUCCGAUUGGAUGCCCCUGAUAGUUUAUCGAUCCACGACCUGGCCUGAUUGAUGAUUGUGGUGGUGACUGCGUGUGGUGGCGCAAUAGGGCACGACGCAUGGGAAUACGUGGCCGGUGUGACGAGGAAUUGCAGGUGCAAAGUGGUUUAUGGCUCAUCAUCGCGGGAGAAGAGCGGAGGACUUUGGUGGAAAAAUUUGUCAGGGAUUCCUCGAAAUGGCUUGAACCAUUUCAGACGACGCGUAUUAAUCGUGGCAAUAAAUUUUCACUCGCGAUUGAAUAGUUUUUUUUCUUCUUUUUUUUUUUUCCAAAAAGUGUAUCGAGCUCAGUAUUGAAAUGUAAACCGAAUACGUGCAAUUUUCGUGUAAACGAAAUAUCAAAGCUAUAUCGGGGGAUCGUAAACAAAACGUAUGUGUGUUUUUAACGUUAUGAAUGUCAAUUACAAAUAUUACAGGAGCUCCUGGAUCGCAUACAUGGUUGCAUAAAUCGGACGUAUCCACGCGACCGGAUGUGUAUAACCUUCCCCCUCUUUGCCGGUUUAACGUCGUAUCUAGAUCAUUUCCAUAUUCGCACCGUUUCAAUGGACGUCGCGAUUAAAAACCUCGUCCGUCAUUGAGGAAACGUGGGAAAAGGCAUGGAAGAAAUGAAGUGUCAAAAGUUUGAAAUAUUUCUUCGUAUUAUCGAAUACGAAUUCGCCGAAAAAAAAUCAUGGGAUUCGAACAACGAGGAAGGAAGAAAUAGCGCCGUUGAUCCAUUGUUCUGAUCACAGAUAUGUAUCGCGAUUCUUUUCGAUAAUAUCGCUCGAUUAAUUAACAGUCGAUACUCAAACGAAUAUGCAUUCGCAGGAGGAUAACAUCGAUUCAAAAAAAGGAAAAGCCAGCAGCCUCGGCGAUUUUCUCCAUGAUAUCACCAGGAUCCAUCGUUUAGUCACGCGAUAGGCUCAAGAGUGACCCCAAUUUUCGUCGAAUCGCAUCGCGGAAAACAAAGGGCGGAAAAAAUGCACGAAACCCGUUAUGAAACAAUAAUCCCGCAUCUGGCUUGGUUCGCGGAAAAAAAAUUUCCCUAUAAUCCGGUAUCUAUUAUAUUUGCAACGUAUUCAACCAGAAUGGAAUGAAUUGGAUUGGUCGUUGCCGUCCAAUCGAACGAUAAACGGCCGAAUAUCCUCCUCGACGAGGAGGAUACGCGCACGUUUUUUUCUCCUCGCAUUUUCCUUUUUGUUCGUCCCCACCGGUGUCUAUUUUUUAUUCCGUUGUUUCUAUUUUUUUCCCCUUCUCUUUUCUUUUUUUCUUUGUUUUUUAGAGAGGAAAGAGAGAGGGAUGGAGAUGGCACAAUUCAGUUUCGGAUGAAAAAAAAAAGAAACGACGGUACGUGCGAAUGAUCGUGCGCGCGAUGGCGUAAGCAGCUACCGAUUUUUAUGCCACUUGCCCCUGUACGUCGAUGUUAUCACGAUUUCCGGACCCGGCAGGAAGUCGAAGCGGGCCAAUUUACAUCCACGACACAUCCCUAUCCCGCAAAUAAUUCCGUCGACGCGUUUAAGAAGAUUUAUGGAGUCUAUUUUGCCCGCUCGUUUCAAGUAUUUUUCGUCCUCGACUAAAUAUUUUAUCCACACCCUUUCCUCUCUUGUCUCCUCACAAUAGACGCGACUUUUCUAAUCUAUCACUUUUUCAGGUUAAUCCGCGAUUCUUCCCUGUGAGUUCUAAGCCGAGGCAGAUACUCGUCGUCGACGAUAAUUUCAAAACGACGUGUUCUUGAUUCUUCUUCAUCCUCGACUCGAUAAAUGAUCGUCGAUCCUUGUUGGCUAAUUUCUCUCGUCAAGGUCGAUCCCUUUGGGGGACGGCACCGAGAUGAGGCGCGAUCUCGAAGCUUCGGUUCGGUUUAAAUUCCACGUGGGAGAAACGCCUCCGAAUCCGUCUGUUACGUGGUAAUGACUCGGUUCCCUUCGUCCCCGUGGCAAUCGACGCUCCACGCUGUCCAAAACUACCCUCGAGACGAGUUCUCUCCCCCGUUUAUUAACCCCCUAUCCCCUCAAAACGCCACCUGAACACCGUUUGUGCAUCGGAGAGAGAGAGAGAGGACGAGCCUUUUGCGAUUUAGAAGAAGAGGAAGGGAAGGAAGACAAGGAAUCAGCGUUGCUCAUUACUUCGCGAUCAGCGGAUUCCUCCUAUCGGGUCGGUCGAAUCGAUCGUCCCCUCUCGUGGCGAAAAUCUGCGAGUUCGAGGCGAGUUUCAAGUCGGUUUCUAACAGUCUUGGAGCAAACGACUGAUUCUAAAUGAUUCCCUGUAGUGGAACGAGAGACUCGGAGGUAAUAACGAGAGAGAGAAAGGAAGAGAGAGGGAGGGAGGGAGUAUUUUCGCAGUCCAUUUGUUUUGAUCGGAUUUCCAACUGUCUCUGGUAAUCCCGGGGUAGUAAGCUCCCGCAGGCAUCGUCAGAUUCCAAUGAAAACCCUAACGUUUCCCUAUCCCUUCGUGGAAGAGAGACACUUUUCUUACAGAGACACCCCAUGGAUCCCUCAACCCCCGUGAUCGCUGUUUGCGAUCUGUUUGCUAGUUUUCCCUCCUCCUUCCAUCUCUCUUCCGUUCUUUCUAUCUUUUCACGUCUCCAAUUGUAUUCUUCGUUUUCCAACGAUUUAUCGUUGCUGUCGAUAUAUUUAUACAAUUGAAUUUACCGCCAUUUCAAGGGUGCCAAUUUCGAGGGACACGCAUCAUAGGAGAAAGAACGUUUUCAAAUUGGAAACCAGGCGAAUUUAUACGAUGAUACGAGCGAAGAUCGUUAUAAACUGUGUAACGCUGUAUGAAACUCGUUGUUGUCCGCGUCGCGAGGCAAAGAUUGGAGAGUUGGCAAAGCGAGGCUGAUCGAAGCUUAUUCUCGUCGGGAAGAAAACAGAUUAGCUCCCUUGAAUUGAAAAACUUUAUUUGGAUUGAAGAUCGGAUUGAAAUUACAAUUGAGAAAGUUGACGACUCGAGAUGAUGGUUUCUCUCUCGCCCGUGGAACUCAUCCACGAGCCUCCUCCACCUCCUCCCACCUCCCCAUAACGCGUAAGAAAAUUGAAUUAACGAGGGCAAUCUUCGAAACUACGUCAAGCCUUGGGACACGUCAAAGUCGAAGUUUAAAUUGAAAUCAACCCCGUAACCAGCGUCACGUGAAUUUGGUCAAAGAGGGCCCCCCCUCCUCCCCUGGACCAGCUUCAUACAUACUCGAUCUCACUUAACUCUUGAACCUAUUAGUACCGUAUCGAUUAUGUCGUGUAUCGGAAUUAUGCGGGUGACACGCGCCGCUACCCGUAAGUGUGCGAGUAAACUAGUAUCUAAUUUCACGGCAAUAUCGAGGAAUACCUGAUCUGGCGAGUAAAUAUUGCCGCGCUAUCGAUUCGAUUUUCACAUCGAUUGGGGGAUCGAUAAUUAUCGCGGGUAAAUAAAAAGCGGAAGAGAACAGAAUCUGGCAGGAUUAAUUAAAUUGUCGAGGCGGCGGUUAAAUGGGGAGGAAACGGAGGGAGAAAAGCGUAUUUAUGAAAUAUUUCGCGAUAUUCUUUUUCUCCGUCGCAACAGCGUACGUGGUGCGUAAAUUUUUAAAAUUCCAGAAAAUGGAAUUAAGUUGUGCAUUUUUAAAAAAAAAAAAAGAAAAAAAGAUGCGAAACGUGCAAAUAUUUAUAGCCAGGGGAUUAAAUUCGUUUUUCAUUUAUGAAUGGGACGUGAAAUGUAAUCAAACGUUCCUUGAUGAAGGAAUAAACGUGGUUACGUAAUGAGAUAUUCGUCAUCGGUGUGGGGGGAGAAGGUGGUAGAGAAGGAGGAGGAGAAGGAGGAGAAGGAGAAGGCAUCGAUCGAUAUAAAAUAUGGAGGACAAAGUUAGCCAUAGAUCAGAGAUCAAAUAUCGAGACCUACUUGAACCGAGAUUAAACCUUUUCGAAGGUAGGAAGCUAACGAAGGCGAGCGCCAAGCGGCAGGUCGCUGUGACAUCUGUCAAGCCCCGUAACGGGGAAGUUCAUUAUGGCGUUCAGCAGGGCGCCACGUCAUUUAUUUCAAUUACUGCCAAACGGUAAAGCUGAAUCGGCAGAUCCCCGCAUCCGUUUCGAUCAUUUAUGAAUGUUCGUCAUUAAUGGCGUUGAGAGAAAGAGGGCGAGAAAAAGAGGGCGUCACACCUACUACCUCUCCACUCUCUUCCCCUUUUCCCCAUUUCUCGUCCAAAGAUAUUUAUUUCGAUGGCCCUUUCCUCUCCCAAUACUCCUGCUUGUUAUCAAUCUUAUCCCAAUUUUCUCGCCUUUUGUCUCGACUCGAGUUUUUAAUUCGUUCCUUUUUUUCCGAGUCGAAAAAUAAAAAAAAGGAGAAGAGAAAAGCAAGUUCAACAUCGUUGUUCCAUCCAGUGAAUAAACAUGAGUAUUCAACCUAUAUCCCCAUGAAUAUAUAUGAACGUCACGCGAAAUUUGACGAAAUUUAUUUGACAUUUUACAAAAGAUUCCCUUUGACGAUGACGAUGAUCAAAGGAUGGCCAAUUUGCACGUUCGAUGGCGCGUGCGUUGACGGAAUGAUCGCGCGUUAUAUCGUACAAUACUCGCGGGGAUUUUAUCAUCGAAACGUCUUGAAAUAAUAUUUCGAGGCGUAGAAAUUUUGCAAAUCUGAUCCUCCCUCCGUCGAGAUGUGUAAUCUCCUCCUACGAUUCUCAGUGUCGUCGGAUUAUUAUACGGAUUGUACAAAGAAAGCACUGUACAUCCCAUCCUCGUACACGGGAAAUUAAUGUUAGGAAAUUCAUUCCAACAGUUUCAUAACAGCUUCUCGAUAACUGGAUUUCAAUUUGCCCGGAGGCCAGGCUUGAUUGAGCAAUCUCGUGCCUUUAUAAUAUAGGAUGCCCGUGUAAGAUAUAUGAUAAACCGAAGUAACUUAGACGUUCGCAAGUUUCACUGCGAGUAAUCAGCUUGCUUAUCAGAUUUUCCGCUUCCUGUGCGCCUAGGCAGGAAGACGACGGAUUGCGACAGAUUCGCGAGGUUAAGAAUUUGUUCGUUUGUCUUUUUUUUUUUUUACGAUAAAACGAAUCUCUGUCAACCAACGCUUGUGCAAAAUUUUCGACCUCGUUCUCGAUCUCGAUAAUUUUUGAUCGGCAACGAUCGAAAGUAUUCGAUUUGAUUUUUCAAAACUGAGAAACGUUCGUCUCGUCUUUUUUUUUUUUUUCUUAAAAAAAAUAUUACGUUUGGGAGGAAAACAUCGGAGAAAUUUUAAAUGUCGCCUAAAUUGUGAAUAACGUUAUAUAUCGAGUAGAUGAAAGCUUUCGAGGCGACGGAAGUUCGUUUCCGAGCCCGAUGAAUAAUUACUUUUUCCUUCAUUCCACAUCCGUCAGUCACUCAGUUCCAGGCGUGUACCUGCUACGUGAACGGACGUAAAUGCGAGCGAAAUCCUAAAAAAAUUGGAACUAACUUUUUGCUAACGUUUCAGGUAUCGGAUCGUCGAAUGGAGGAAGAGGAGGAGGAGGGGUACGAUAAUCGAAGAAAGAAAUAAAAAUUAAAAUUUCGGACAAGGAGCGAUCGCGAUACGAUUUGACUAUGGAACUAGACGACUACUAAUAUCGAGGAGAAUAUUCUCGAUUUAUCCGGGCUGUUUUCUUUCGAUCACGCCUGACGUAUUACGUAUAUAAUAGACGGAGAAAAAUUGCACUUCUUACGAUCUCACGUUCUCAAAUCGAUGCUACCUAAAAAUGUCCGUCGUGAUCGUUUACCAGCAGGAUGUUGCUGAAAAGAAACGAUUCGAGCAAGAUGGAUCGCCAAUCCUUAUUGCGGCUAUUCGAACCAUGGAAUAAAUCCUGGACAAAAUCGUACACCUAUAGAAUCGAUCUCUCGUAAUUUACAUUCAUUCGAGAUAAUUUAAUUCCUCGAUUCCAACUUUUAUUGAAGCCCGUGCACGAAUUUAUUCCAAAAUUUUACUCACAUCGCAAAGACUUUUUUUUUCUUUGCCUCGCAGAAUCAAAAAAGAGAGAUCAAAGGAGAGAAAAAGGAAAGAAAACGCGGCAAGAUGCCAAUCUAUCUCUUGCCGAUCAAUUUCGAAUCUACGUAUCCACGUCUAAAUUAUAGAAGAAACAUUCAAUCCUAUUCGAUCCUAUACAUUCCUAUACAUUCCUAUACAUUCCUAUACAUUCCUAUACAUUCGAUUUCUCUGACGGAAACACCGAAUAACUCCGAUUCGUGGAUUACGAACGUGUACACCCCGGGAUCGGAUCGGCGAUAAAAACUUGGAGAGGUAGUUCGAAUCGUUUUUCCGCCCCCUCGCAUUCUUUCACGCUGUUCCACACCCUUUGAGGCCGGCCGCACGAGCUUAAUUAUACGAAAUAAUUACACGACGCUUGGUAGAAAAUGUAGGAGCGAGCGGAGGAGGAACGCACGUGAAUCGCGCGUUCACCGUGGAUUGCGGUCGGCCGCGAGGCAGGGUGUCGAGCUGCGACCGCGCCAGUCGUGGGUGCAGCUGCAGGGAAAUGCAGUUUCGCGGGCGCACACGAGUGCUGGGUAAAGGGUUUGAAAAAGGAGAGUCACUCUGUUGGCGCGUAAUUAUGCCGCGUGCUGCCCACUUGUAUUAUGCCGGUUGAUGUUCUGAAAACGCGCGUCGUUUUUUCUUUUUUCUUUUUUUUUUUUUUCAAGCCACGAAAAAUGAUUAUGGUAAUUGCGACGAUCACCCCGCGUCUUCUCCCCGUCUUCUUCCGGGAAAGAAGGGUCGAGAAGGGAAGUCUCGAGGGAAAGUGGAUCAAACUUUUGACGCGUGGGGGUGAGAUUCUUGAAUGCCUCGAGUUUGAACGCGACGCGCGUGCGUUCGUUCAACUUGAAUGGGACGAGCGCACGUGUGCUGUGCGAUUUCGCGAAAAUCCAUUUGUCGAUCUUUUCUGGAUAAGGCAAAGUUUGAAUUGUGGAAGAAGAAAAGAAAAAGAAAUGUAACACGAAACGAACGAGAAAAUUGAUCUACUGUACCGACUUUAAUUCUACUUUUGUCUUUAUUAGAGAUUCGUCUGCAUCCAACGAAUUUCACAUUUUACAUUCCGUACUUUCGAAACUUUCCCUUGUCGCGAUUUAUGGAACGCAUUCACUUAACUCGUAAAAACGUAUACAUAUAUAUUUCUUGGUCUCUGAUGCACCACGUGUCAUCUCCCCCUCCCGCGACAUCGAAUCUACGUUUGAAGAAAGGGUAGGAGCGAGAAGUCAUCGUUAUUCAAAGAUCACGGACGCGUCUCAAUUUCCUUGAGAGAAGUUUCCGCUUUGUGGACCCCAGUCAAAUACGCGUGGAAAGAGGGCUCCCGUUCACUCUAAGUAUUUUCCCAGCUUCUCGAGCCUUUGAACGCGAAUCCCCUACAUUUUUCCAACUCUUCCUCCUCCUCCUCCUUUCCUCCUUCUCCGUCCACCCCCUCCUCCCCCUGUUCCGUUCCUGGUAAAUCUGCGCUAAAGCGUAAACGUAUUUCAGGCCUUCGAGAUCCAGCGAGACGUGAAUGUAGCGUGGGGUAGCGUGGAAAAAGUGCGGCCAAAUCGUUUCCCCGACGGCACACGGAUCGCUGCAAAGAGAUUAUCUCGGCUAUAUUAAUUCAUCGUGGAAACAGCGAUUACAUCGUGGGAGAAGAUCAAAUAGUAUUACGUAAUCCCGAUCUAAUCCCGUCUUAGAGCUUGCUCGACUUAACUCGGACCUAACGUAACCGGUCUCGAGUACCGCUCUCUUGCAGUUUGUUCCUUCAACCAGGAACGUUCGACUCUCGAAGUUGCGAAGAAAUUUACUUAACUUUUCAUGGAGGAUGGAGGGAGGAGAAAGAGAGAUAGAAAAAGAGAUCCUUGAAACAUAGCGAAUACCGGUGUAUUACAAGCGGGAGCUGUAUCGGGUCAGAUAAGAGAGUUCCCUCGCCUUAUCGUCGCUUUUUUACCGUCGCCAGACAACAGGCAACUGUCCACGAAACAAUAUUUUUCACCCACCUUUCCUAGCGUCAUCUUUUUUUCUCCUCCCUCCUUUUUCUCCCUUUCUUUUUAUCUUACCCCCCUUUCCUCCCCCGUACAACGCGAAGAUCUCGUUAACCGUUAAAGAACGGGUCUCGUGUAUUAUCCAGUCCUUUCUCAGAUAACAAGGAGAGGUACAACAACCGGUUGUGGUGCUAUCUUCAUCGAAUAAUUAAGAAUUGUUUAAUUGUCCUCGAGACCGGUUAUCGCGCGUGGGGAAAAGAAAAUUCGUCUGGAAAUAUUGAGCAGAAGAAUUCCUACGCAGAAGAAUUGUUCCAUUCUUCUUCAACCUCGAAAAUUAUAAUAUCUCUAUUAACGAUCGAUGGAACGGAAUUCUAUUUUUGGAUAUAUUCAUUCAACAAUCGACGCGUCUAUCGUCGAACGUGAUUGGUUAAAGAGUUACACUACACGAUCAAGUUUAUGUAUUUAUAUACGUGGCAUUUGGGAUCACUUGUUCAAAAGUAACGAGCUUUAAACUUGGGAAUCUAAUGGAAUUGCUUGGAAGAUGUUCGAAGUAAGACUCGUUGCAGGAAAUUUAUCAAUACGAAGAUCGAUAUAAUGUAAUUGGUGCAAUCUCUCGGUUGGUCCAAGCUUCUCGAUGAUUAUCGUCGUCGCGAAACACCCCAACCCUGAUUGAUUCAUCGAGAGAGAGAGGGGAAUUUUAAUCGUCCGCUUCUCCGAAGCGAUGAAUUUUGUUCUCUCGCGGAGCAAAGGGACCGCGGGUUAAGCGCGUUUUAAAGGAGAGCCUGUUUACUUUCAAAGUAACACAAUUGUGCGCAUACCGCAUAGUAGCGGCGCGCAUUCGAGCGGAAUUUCAUUUGAGAAACGAAAUUUUAACUCGGGAAUGCGAGCGAGAAGAAGCGGAGAAAUCAUACACGAUUAAAAAGCUUAAUCUCCUUUAUGAGCCGAAUAUGAAGGCCGUAAGGAGGGGCACGGAUGAGAAAUAGUUGCUACGAAUUACUACCCCGGUAAACAACCCCCUGGCAAAUGAUUAAAUUCCCGCGGAGAAAGAAAGAGAGAGAAAGAUAAAAGAGUGGGCGGCCUGGUAAGAAAGCGGGAUUCGAGCAAUUUAAACCGCGAUCUCCGCCUCGUAAACGAAAGAGGGAUGAUCGAUCUUGCAAGUUUUGGGGGAUGGCCGACUCGCAGAGAGAAAGAUCGGGCGGGCGAACGUUGCCCCCAUAAAAUGCACCCUCGAGCUACAUUCAUGGCGACGGAGGCGAGCAUUUUGGUUUCCCCUGCGGGCUAUUUAGCGCAUCUGCCUCCACCUUGGCGAAACGUUGGCGAAAAGGGUGGUGGUGCAAGGGGGAUGGGACGGUCUGGAUUGCGGAGGAAGAAGGGAUACGGGGAAAAAGGUGAAUGCGAGUCUGGCUACGUGACCGAAAAACCUGGAUUCCGUUUGUUUGGAUUGCUUGAUCAAAUACUUUUAAUUAAUUUGCUAAUCCGUCCCUCGAUAAUAAUAAUAAUAACCGGCGAUUUAUCUUUUCUUCCUCUUCUUCUUUUUCUUCUUCUUCUUCUUCAUCUUGCAUUCCGUAUUUUCAGCGUCGAUCGUGCGAGAAACGAAUUUCAUUAAUUCCGCUUCAUUUCUUGGAGGAGAAGAAAACGGAUGGAGAGAGCGAAGAUAAACUUUGGAUGCUGUUCGCGAUGUGAUUUCGAUCUUGGUGUCGUUGGUUAUUCCGUUAAUGGAUAUCCAAUUUCGUGUAUCAUCCCUCGAUCGGUCGUUAAUAGUCAAAGACCGGCGCGCUUUGAGAAACUCGAUAAUGGAUCGUUGCUGGGAGGAAGUUUCGAGGAAUCGAAAAUCUGGAAGAUCGUUUAUUACAUCGAGAUCGAUAAUUUAUCGAAUCUUUUCUUUUCCCUUCUAUUUCCCUUCCCUUCCCGCAAUGUGCUCGCUCGAAGAUAAUUGACAAAAGAAACAACGAAACCCGUUGGCUAAAGCUCGUUGCAACGUACGUGACCAACGAAUGGGAUCGAAACCGCAAUUGUUCAGCUUCUAUCCCGACGCUUUUAAUUCAUUUGUUAAUUUAUCGCCUGUACCAUUGUCCCAACGGGUCGUAACACUAAUACAAACCUCCCGAUUUCGCUCGUGCACGGCAACACGUGUACACGUAUAUACGCGCGUGCACACCUCACGGAAGAUUACGGUCAGUGCAUGAUAAGGGAAACCAAGCUUUCUACAUCUCUCUCUUGCUCCUUGAUAACAAUUGAUAAUGUUGCGAAAGAAAGAAAGGAGACUAUUAUUACCAGUUUGUAUUCGAUGCUCGUAAAGAUGAUCUUCAAAGAAUGUAAUCAUAUAUCAUCGUAAAGGAAUCUGGAUUCGCGAUAGAAAUUAAAAUCGUGGCAGCGUAAAAAUUUCGAGAGAAGAUUCCAGAGAAGAGACAUGUUGGAUUAUAAAAUUAUACGAAAUUACGAAAUAAUGAGCGCCGUUCCUCGAUUUUUACUAAUUUCUUUCGUCGCUCGAAACUUCUCCCCUCCCAGGAAUCUUAAGAAAUAAUUACUUAUCAAUCUUUCUCGAUCAAACUUUCAAAUUAGACUGUAAUUCGUCUCACGGGAGUAUCACAGUUUCGAGUAUCGCUCGGUCUUGGAAUUUCGUGGAGUCUUUAAUAAACGAGAAGAGGCGACGAGGUAUCAUCGGUACACCGAUUUCCUAUGUAUUACAUUUCAAAAUCCCCGGGCAUUAAUGCUGCGGUCGGACAAGAGGCUAUUUGCGAGAGUAGGUUGGCGGGGGGUUGGCAGGGUUUCAGAGUCCAGAACGACGGAAUUGCGAGCAUCCUCCAUCCAUAAGCCAGAAUCUCUGGCUAACUAAGCGGCCGGGAGAACGUCGAAGAGGGCAUUUACUUUUGUACACGAAUCUUGGGGGAAUCGGAAGUGAUGUCCAAGUGGAAGAUGGAAGCAGAUUGCUCGUCCGUUGAGGUAAACGUACCAUGGAUGGAAAGCCCGGUUAUCGGGCCACUGUAAUUAUGCAAAAUCCUUUAUCGUUUCCAAGAUGUUGAUUCCACGAUGAAAAAUUCAUUGACGCAUCGUGCGAUUCUUCGAUCCGAUUAUAUCGUUUGGAAACAUUUGUCAAGUUUAUAUCAGAGAUUUGAUUGUUAUCAGGAUCCAAUUUGACGAAUUUUCAAGAAUAGAUCGAUAUAUUUUAUAUACAUGUGUAUAUUUUUUUAUUUUAGGGGAAAGAUUUUCAACCCUUAGAAUUCGCUGAUUUUUCGUGUCCUCUGGUGGUAAGUUUUCGAGUUCGAUAGCAAGGAUGACAGCAAGGUUCGACAGCUAACGUAGAUCCCUGCCUGAUCAUGGACCAAAAAAGAAAAAAAAGAU
This is a long non-coding RNA of Apis mellifera (honey bee), 12036 nucleotides long. RefSeq lists it as uncharacterized. The transcript has 3 exons. NCBI's taxonomy places the organism in Eukaryota, Metazoa, Arthropoda, Insecta, Hymenoptera, Apidae. The record is from RefSeq and is a predicted model, not a curated record.